CCAUAUAUGCAGUUGUUCCAGGUAACUGUAAAUUUAUGAAGCUACUCAAACAUUUGAGUAUACUAAUAGAAGGACCUUAAAAUUUAGAAACUGAAACUAAGGCCUUGAUUAUGUAACUUAGGAAGUAGAGAAAAAAAUCGCCUUUGACACUUACUACCAAACAAGUCAAUUUUUGCCCUUCCUGUCAAGUUCCCUAGCUCACUUACCCCAGCCAAACAAGGCCUAAACCCUGGAAAAACUUUGAGGUUCCAGAAACCCAUUAAAGCUAUCCCAGAAUUCAACGACAUUCAAAGGCAAAAACCCACAUUUCUACAGUAACAGCUCAGUAAAACCCAUUCAACAGCAAAAAUAUACAACACACAUUUUCGGUGAAAAUUACUCAGCAAAGUACAUAAGAAUAAUCCUCACAGCAUAGUUCUAAAUAAAAAAAAAAUUGGACCCCAAAAAAAAAAUGAAAAGAAGUGUACCUG
RNAcentral lists this unclassified non-coding RNA (470 nucleotides) under Hevea brasiliensis (rubber tree). Lineage: Eukaryota; Viridiplantae; Streptophyta; Magnoliopsida; Malpighiales; Euphorbiaceae. The record is from RNAcentral.